This 870-nucleotide ribosomal RNA is filed under the name uncultured bacterium. RNAcentral's name for it is "SSU rRNA". It matches the Rfam family "Bacterial small subunit ribosomal RNA", at positions 524 to 1381 of the family's 1533-position model. The record is from RNAcentral.
UACAGAGACUGCGAGCGUUGUUCGGAUUCAUUGGGCGUAAAGGGUGCGUAGGCGGUCGGUUAAGUCGGAUGUGAAAUCUCACAGCCUAACUGUGAUAGGUCAUUCGAAACUAGCCGGCUUGAGGACUGGAGAGGAGACUGGAAUGGUCGGUGUAGCGGUGAAAUGCGUAGAGAUCGACCAGAACACCGGUGGCGAAGGCGGGUCUCUGGACAGUUCCUGACGCUGAGGCACGAAAGCCAGGGGAGCAAACGGGAUUAGAUACCCCGGUAGUCCUGGCCCUAAACGGUGUUCACUUGGUGUGCGGGGAGUCGACCCCCUGCGUGCCGAAGCUAACGCGAUAAGUGAACCGCCUGGGAAGUACGACCGCAAGGUUAAAACUCAAAGAAAUUGACGGGGGCCCGCACAAGCGGUGGAGCAUGUGGCUUAAUUCGAUGCAACGCGAAGAACCUUACCUGGCCUUGACAUACAGCGUGAAAGGUAGUGAAAGCUAUCGACGGCCCGAAAGGGCGCUGGGGCUGUACAGGUGCUGCAUGGUUGUCGUCAGCUCGUGUCGUGAGAUGUUGGUUUAAGUACCGCAACGAGCGCAACCCCUGUGACUAGUUACCCCAUGGCAACAUGGGGGCCUCUAGUCAGACUGCCUCGCUUUAAACGAGGAGGAAGGUGGGGAUGACGUCAAAUCAGUAUGGCCCUUACGGCCAGGGCUGCACACGUGCUACAAUGCUCGGUACAGAGGGCUGCAAGACCGCGAGGUGGAGCAAAUCCCUGAAAGCCGAGCUCAGUUCAGAUUGCAGGCUGCAACUCGCCUGCAUGAAGCUGGAAUCGCUAGUAAUGGCGCAUCAGCUACGGCGCCGUGAAUACGUUCCCGGGCCU